UAAAGGCUCACCAAGCCAACGAUCUGUAGCUGGUCUGAGAGGACGACCAGCCACACUGGAACUGAGACACGGUCCAGACUCCUACGGGAGGCAGCAGUGGGGAAUUUUUGGACAAUGGACGCAAGUCUGAUCCAGCCAUUCCGCGUGCAGGAUGAAGGCCCUCGGGUUGUAAACUGCUUUUUGUACGGAACGAAAAAGGUUUUCUCUUAAAUACGAGGAGCUCAUGACGGUACCGUAAGAAUAAGCACCGGCUAACUACGUG
This 262-nucleotide ribosomal RNA is filed under the name uncultured bacterium. Its description in RNAcentral is "partial 16S ribosomal RNA". It matches the Rfam family "Bacterial small subunit ribosomal RNA", at positions 258 to 507 of the family's 1533-position model. The record is from RNAcentral.